CGGGAUGUAGCGCAGCUUGGUAGCGCGUUCGGUUCGGGACCGAAAGGUCGCUAGUUCAAAUCUAGUCAUCCCGACCA
RNAcentral lists this transfer RNA (77 nucleotides) under Candidatus Cloacimonadota bacterium. Its description in RNAcentral is "tRNA-Pro". It matches the Rfam family "tRNA". Rfam says of the family: Transfer RNA (tRNA) molecules are approximately 80 nucleotides in length. Their secondary structure includes four short double-helical elements and three loops (D, anti-codon, and T loops). The record is from RNAcentral. Lineage: Bacteria; Pseudomonadati; Candidatus Cloacimonadota.